GAUCCUGGCUCAGAUUGAACGCUGGCGGCAGGCCUAACACAUGCAAGUCGAGCGGUAGCACAAGAGAGCUUGCUCUCUGGGUGACGAGCGGCGGACGGGUGAGUAAUGUCUGGGAAACUGCCUGAUGGAGGGGGAUAACUACUGGAAACGGUAGCUAAUACCGCAUAACGUCGCAAGACCAAAGUGGGGGACUUUCGGGCCUCACGCCAUCAGAUGUGCCCAGAUGGGAUUAG
This 233-nucleotide ribosomal RNA is filed under the name uncultured bacterium. RNAcentral describes it as "partial 16S ribosomal RNA". It matches the Rfam family "Bacterial small subunit ribosomal RNA", at positions 15 to 244 of the family's 1533-position model. The record is from RNAcentral.